RNAcentral lists this long non-coding RNA (441 nucleotides) under Olea europaea (common olive). RNAcentral describes it as "long non-coding RNA (OEUR_LNC013050)". Lineage: Eukaryota; Viridiplantae; Streptophyta; Magnoliopsida; Lamiales; Oleaceae. The record is from RNAcentral.
AUAUUGAUUGGACAUUCUUUCCAUAUAAAUUAAUUAAAUAUUAGUAAACAAUAUCGCUUUGGGUGGUGUUUGAUAAAUGUUCGAUGCUCCGCCCUAACUCACUCGAGCUGUUGGAUUCGUCCCUGAUUACUGCAUAUACAUCUGUGUGGUUGCCUAAUUUUGUUUUAUAAUCAUAUGUUACAUUUCAAUUUGUUUGAUAUGUGUGUUUUCAUGAACUUGAGGUAAUGUGAUUAAUUGAUGUGAUUGUUUGAAUGCAUGUGGGUUAGAAUGCAUUAGCAGUGAGUUGUAUGUCUUUUGGUAAGGUGGAGUAUAGAUUCUUAGGGAUACAUUUUAGUUUGUACCGAGGAUGUGGAAUGUGACAUUUGGAUCACGAUUAGAGAUGUGACCAAAUGUCUAGAGUCUUUUAUCUGUGAAAAAGAACUUGUACAAAUGGAGUGUGAG